UGGAAAAUUAGGUGAUCUUUAAGGCUGAACACUAAUCUCUGGAGGAGCAACAGGGUUAUGAAAGUGUAUAUUUUCAAAUGAACAAUAUAAUUGUAGUGAGGUAAUAAUAAAAUGAAAACAUAUUCUUGUACUUUGCUUCACAAAUUCUUGAACAACAGACUUCCCCGUUUCUUAUGUUCUAAUGCUGGAAAAUGGAAUGAAGACCUUUCAACAUUAAUCAAACAUGACAUUGAACAUAGAUGGAGAAACAAGCUUGAGGCACCCAUUUAUAGUGAUGAUAACAAGAAAUCUAAAUUUUAUGUGCUGUCAAUGUUUCCUUAUCCAUCAGGACAAUUGCAUAUGGGGCAUGUACGAGUAUACACUAUUAGUGACACAAUGGCCCGUUUCUACAGGAUGAAUGGGAAAAAUGUGAUUCAUCCCAUGGGUUGGGAUGCAUUUGGUCUUCCUGCAGAAAAUGCUGCAAUUGAAAGAGGAAUAGAGCCAUCAGCUUGGACCAAACAAAAUAUAAAACACAUGAAGGAACAGCUUCAGAAAUUAGGUUGCAGCUUUGAAUGGGAUCGUGAGCUGACAACUUGUGACCAAAAGUAUUAUUGUUGGACACAGUUCAUAUUUUUAAGAAUGUAUGAAGAAGGGUUAGUUUACAGAAAAGAAGCCCUUGUCAACUGGGAUCCAGUAGAUCAGACAGUACUGGCAGAUGAGCAAGUUGAUGCAAAUGGUUGCUCAUGGCGUUCGGGUGCUAAAGUGGAAAAGAAACUGCUAAAUCAGUGGUUCAUUAGAACAACACGUUUUUCAAAAUCUCUUUUGGAUGGACUUGAUGACCCAAUUCUUAAGAACUGGAAAGACAUUAUAAAUCUUCAAAGACAUUGGAUUGGGGAGUGUAAUGGAACUAGGUUUGAAUUUGAGUUGGAGGACAAUUCAUCAAAGUUUACCAAGCAAACUCUUGCUGUAUUUACCUGCAAUCCAGAACAUAUACAUUAUGCAAGUUUUAUUGCUGUAGCUCCUGGGAGCAUCUUGGAUCGGGUAGAGUUUGAUUGUGACAGUAUCAUUGAGAAUAACAGUGUGUUUAAAAGACUUCCUCUUCAGGCCAAGAAUCCUUUUACAGGAAAAGACCUUCCCAUAUAUGUAACUGAUCAAGUAGAAUAUGAUGAAGGAUCAGACUGCCAUCUUGGAGUACCAAAAAUCUCAGAAAUAGACAGAUUGUUUGCAACAGCUGCAAACAUUCCAAUAUUAUCUCCAAAGGAAAAUGAUGGACUGUUGAAAUCAGUUGAAGAUGUUAGUGUGACAAGGGAACACAUUAAUACUGUGGCACAACAACUAGGGAUUGGUGGAUAUUCCUGCAGUUCCAAACUUCGAGACUGGUUAAUUUCUCGUCAGCGUUACUGGGGUACACCUAUUCCAAUAGUGUACUGUAAACAUUGUAAUGGUCCCCAACCUGUACCAUACAGUGAGCUGCCUGUGAUUUUACCAGACAUUGACAGAUUAUCAAACAAGGGCAAAUCUCUUCUAGAAGCUACAGAGUGGCUAAGUACAAAGUGUCCUAAAUGUGGUGGAGAUGCUACACGUGAGACUGAUACUAUGGAUACAUUUGUUGAUUCAUCAUGGUAUUUUCUGCGGUAUCUUGAUCCAUACAAUAAGGAGAUGCCAUUCAGUAAAGAGGUGGCAAAUAGAUUUAUGCCUGUGGAUUUAUAUAUUGGAGGCAAGGAACAUGCGGUACUUCACUUGUAUUAUGCACGGUUCUUGAAUCACUUUCUACACUCUGUUGGCCUUGUUCCAAGCCAAGAACCAUUUCAGCAGCUGCUGAUCCAGGGUAUGGUAAUGGGGCAGAGUUACAGGGUUAAAGGCACUGGUCGAUAUCUGCCUAAAGAAAAUGUAGAUCUCUCAGGUCCCAAACCUGUGGAAAAGGUAACCGGCCAGGCUGUGGUUACUGCAUGGGAGAAGAUGAGCAAGUCAAAACAUAAUGGUGUGGAUCCAGAGACAAUGCUGAAAGAAUAUGGAACUGACACUACUAGGCUACUUAUACUUGCAGAUGUAGCACCAACAUCUCAUCGGCACUGGAACAGUAGCACCUUUCCUGGUAUAUUGAAAUGGCAGCAUCGUCUGUGGUUGACAAUGAGAAGUUUCCUAAAUAUUCGUUCCAACCUAGAGAAUGUGGUUUCUGACACAGUUUCGGAUACACCUGAAUUCAAGGAGCAUGAAGCUAAAAUGUUUGAUAGUCGAAACUACUAUUUGAAAGGUGUUACAUUCAACUACACAACAUCAUUUCAACUUAGUGUUGCUAUUUCCAAGAUGCAGGGUCUCACAAAUAGUUUGCGGCAAGUACCACCAGAGGUGAUCGGUCACAGCCUUCAGUUUGAGAGAGCUCUUGCAUGUUUGAUCAUUGUUCUGGCACCAAUGGCACCACAUUUUGCAUCAGAAUUGUGGUCUGGGUUUGUAUCAGCUCCAAAUCGCAUAAAUACAUCAACAAAGGAAAUCAAUUGGGACCGAGGUGUUCUGGAACAGACUUGGCCAGAAAUUGAUUUAAACUACUGCCUUCAACUUGUUUGCAUGGUGAAUGGACUAGAGAAGAAGAGCAUUUAUCUACCACGGCAUCAACUUGAUAACUUAACUCAUGAGGAUGCACUAGAACUGGCACUUUCACAGACUGACUUGCAGAAAUACACAUCAGGCUAUAUGAUUGUCAACACAGCCUUCACAUUGCACCCCAGUUAUAAAGCUGUUAUUAACAUAAAAACAGAAAGUAUUAGCAAAACAAAGGAGCAACAAGAGCAAGAAGGAUGAAGUUCAGUGUAAAGUACUCAGGGUUCACUUCCUUCUCUGUUGAUGCAGUUAAUAAAUCUGGUCCAUAGUGUAUCUACAGGAGUUCUGAACUAGACUUGGUGUUUGAGAGGCAGUUAGUUCACCAUUUUGUUGGAGGUGGGUUUUCAGCUACACUCUUGGUGGCUUCUGGAGCUAUCUCUUAAGGCCACUAGAUUUAAGGUGUUUGUCAUCAUUUGUGAUGAGUGCUGAAAGUCUCUAGAGUACACAGUUUGAAGCAUAAGAAUAAAAAACACACUAAAGAAGUGAUUUAUCUGGUCCAGUGGUGAGGUAAACUUACUGAUUUGUGUUUUUUCUCAGUGAAUCCAAGAAAGUGAUCUGUAUGGCAUGAAAUGUGACCACUGCACAGUUUUUUUAAGGCAGUAAUAUUAAUUAUGGGGAAUUAGGUGACUGAAUUUUUUUUCAUUUUGCUGUUGGCUUCUGUGCUAGCAACUUGACCACCAUUUGCCAAGAAAAAGGAAUCUCUGGUCGUAGUUAAUGUCGUAUUAUACAAGUGCAUGCACUUCUGAAAUUAAAUAAAUGGUUCAGAAAUGCCUUCCAUCUACUCUUUAACUGUCUCUCUUGAAAAAGUUGUUUUAAUUAAACUUUUGUCUUGUAAAUUUCCCCGCAGAUAAAAAUCAUAGGGUUUUAAAUCUGGAAAGUGUGCAGACUGUAAUCUCUGAUUUAUCAGUCUGUCUUCAAAAACUUUGUUUAAAACAUUAAUUGAAUAAUUGGUGGGGUAGGAUGGAGGUAUGACUCCUACUCAUUCUUGAUCUUGGCACUAGGUGGUGGUGAGUUCUUAGUUCACACUCAAGAAAGGAGACCCCGUACCCAUUGGAUAGCGGGCUGGAUGGUUCCCACACUAGGUUUAGACACCAAAGUUACAGAAAAAAUCCUUUUAUCCCUGCUGGGGUCAAACCUCAAUUGUCUAGUCCAUAGAUACUAUGUUUACCAAUUUUCCUUGGCGCUUAUUUUGUUUAGUGUUUGCAAAAGUGUUUUGGGCACCCCUAGUCUUGUAGGGUGACAGUGCAUCUAUGUAUGUAUUACUGUGUGGUAUCACAGGGAACAUGCAUAUGGUUUUGAUAAGUUUUGCUUAAUAUUUGUUUUGAACAUUCCUAAAAAGAAACUUGGCACAAAUUUACAUUCAUUGUCAAAUUAUGUAUCUACAGAUUAAAUUUUACAUUCUUGUAGAAAAUUGACUAGCUGGGAAUGAAAAGAUUGUCAGUUAAUAUAUCCAUGGAGUAGAGUCCUUCUGGAGAAGUUAAUAGUAUGUUUAUCUAGUCAAAAAAUUCUCCACCUUUUGUGUAACCUGAAGGUUCAUUACAAUGUGUCACAAGAGCCUGCCACAGGUCUUUAUGCUGAACCAGAUUAAUAUGUUCAACACUCCAACCCUAUUUCCCCAAGAUGCAAUGUAAGGUUAUAUUUUGAUAUAUUACUUUCAGGCUUUUCAACCAAAAUAUCUGGAUUUCUUGGCCAUAUUAUUUGGUGAAGAGUACAAAUUGUGGAGAUUCUCAUUAUGUAGUUGUCUCCAGCUUCCUGUCACUCAUCCUUCUUAUGUCUAUGUAUUCUCCUAAGCAACCUGUUCUCAUGCCUCAUCAUUGUGUGUUCUUCCCUUAACAUGAGAGACCAGACUUUACACACGUACAAAACAGUAGGUACAGUUAUAUGAGGAUACCUCCAAAUGUAAUGCCCCACAUUUUUCUAAGAAAUCAGUAUUUAUUCUAUAGCAUUGCUAUUGAUACAUUUUAUAGGUACAUCCUUUGGGAGAAAAAUCAUGUUUUUCCACAUUAUCACCUCUUCUCACAACUGCUUUCUUCCACCUCUUAACAAGUGUUUGUAUACCCACUAUGUAAAACUGAGGACCUGCAUUCCUUAGGGAAUUUUUUGCUGCUGCCUAGAGAGACUCAUUGUUUUUGAACUUGGAACCAUGAAGGCUGUCUUUCAGUUUGAAGAAAGGAUGGUAGUCUGAUAGUGACACACCAAGACUGUAAGGUGAGUGUGGCAAUACCAUCCACCUUAAUUUGUUGAUGGCCUCCGUGGCUUACAGAAUUACGUGAGGAUGGGCAUUGUCAUGCUGGAGCAGGAUGUCUGCCAUCUGCUUGUGUGUGGUCAAACAAGGUGCAAAUAUGCAUGAAGUUUUGUUAAUGUCACCACAUAUACCUCUGAGUUGAUGGUGGUUCCUUAAGGCAUGAUAUUCACAAGAAGUUCCUCCAUGUCCCACACAACUGUCACCAUCACCUUUCCUGCAGAAGAGGCAACUGAAUUUCUUCUUCUGUGGGGAAUUAGCAUGAUGCCACUCCAUUGAUUGAGUCUUUGUUUCUGGUUCGUACACCUUCUGUAAUAGCUUGUGGGUGUUUCCCACUGUCUCUUUCUCACAUCAAAAAUUCAAUUACAGUAUGUUGCUUCUGAUGGAUGUCAAGUGCAGUCGCCAUUUUGAACGCAUGUUUUAACAUCACUAGCAGGAAGUGAAUGAACUAACCAUGAAUAGAAGCAGGAAGAAUUUACCUACAAACUGAAAAUUGCAAGCCUCUGGAAUAAAAAGUUUUUUAAAAAAAUGUGGGGCAUUUAUUUUAGAGUGACCUUUGUAUUUGUAUAUUUUAAUUGUAAAUUUUUCGUAACAUCCAGGUAGACAGCAUUCGCUGAAUUUACUCUGUACUUAAUUUCAUUGUGAAUGCAAUUCUGAUUUUUUAUUGUUUCCAAAUAUUUGAACUUCGGUACAUUUUAUUCACCUUUAUGUUUUUUUUAAAAUUUUGACAGUAUCCAUAUGUUUUACCAUUCUGUAUUUCCUUAUUCUUAAAGUGUGAAGCAUACAGAUGUGAAACUGUCAUAUCCUGUUAUUCAUUCAUUGACUGAAAUAUAGCUCAGUUGCUCACAUGAAAUUGAAUAUUUUUAAUUGCAAUGGUUAUUGCAUAUUUUAAAAGUUUAGGCCCAUUAAAUGCCCACAUCUCAGUGUGUUGAUAAACGUGUGAUAUCUGGUUUCUCUAAAAUAAUAUCCCUUUUGCUUCCCUGAUCUGUCAUUGGUAAGGUUUAAUGGUUUGUACUGUGAUUUUGCUUUUUGUUUUCAGUUUACUUGUAAUAAAUAUUGUCAGUUUGGGUUGUAAGUCUAGAGUUAAGUUUUAUGUAGAGUUAUAAAACAAUUUGUGUGUA
Molecule: RNA transcript, 5940 nt
Organism: Zootermopsis nevadensis
Lineage: Eukaryota; Metazoa; Arthropoda; Insecta; Blattodea; Termopsidae
Gene: LeuRS-m
Gene name: Leucyl-tRNA synthetase, mitochondrial
Source: RefSeq, a predicted model, not a curated record